Molecule: long non-coding RNA, 2166 nt
Filed under: Mytilus galloprovincialis (Mediterranean mussel)
Lineage: Eukaryota; Metazoa; Mollusca; Bivalvia; Mytilida; Mytilidae
Source: RNAcentral
UGCCCUUCAGUUGUUAUUGUAAAGUCUUUAAUUGCCAGAGGCAAAGGUUUGAUAUUACAUAACUUUAAAUCCGUUUUUUGCGUACACAUUAUCUACAUUUUCUAUUCUGUAGUGAAUAUUACUUGUGUUCUCAAGAGGUAAGCUAUAGAAAAUGUUAUGGGUAUAAUUGGAGGCAUUUUAAGGUAAACAGGGGCUUUAAGGAGCCGUUGUCGCUCACCUGAAAUUUUGAAAUUGAUGCAUGAAAUAAUGCAAUAAAAAAGGAAUCUGUAUGGAUCAAGUUUGGUUUUUUUAAAUGCUUUCAUCUCAAUUAUCAUUUUAAGUUUUCAAGGUUAAAACACACAUUUCAAGUAUGUCGUGCUGCUGAAAAGAGACAGUAAGUAGAUCCCAACAUUCUGAACAUUUUUGCCCAAUAUAGAUUUUUCUACUCAUAGCAGUUUUCAAGAAAAUAGACACACCUUGCAUUUUACCCCUUUGUUUUACUUUUAGCUACGGCGGCCAUGUUGGUUGGCAGGCUGGAUCAUCAAACACAUUUUCUAAACUAAGUACCUAUAAUAAAAAUUGACAAAAACUCCGUAUAAAGGAGUCAAUUGAAAAUUUGGUCAUAUUAACUUAUUUAAAGAUCUCGCUUUAAAAAACAUUAUUGCUGUUUACAGUUUAUCUUUUUUUUAUCUAUAAUAAUCAUGAAGAUAACCAAAAACUGCAGAAUUUCCUUAAAAUUACAUUUCAAGAGACAGCAACCCAACAACUGGUAGUCUGAUUCGUCUGAAAAUUUGAGAACAUAUAGAUCUAAACUUGAUGAAGAAAUUUUACCCUUGUCAUAUUUGCCGUCUAAAUGCUUGUAAGCUAAAUAUAAGCCAACACUGCAUUUUAUCCUAUUUUAUGUUCUAGUUUUAGCCAUGUUGGUUGGCAGACAGGAUCAUCGGAAACAUUUUUAAAAAGUUCCCAAUUAAUGACUGUGGCCAAGUUUGGUUGAACUCGUAGAUGUAGUUUCAGAGGAGACGAUUUUGGUAAAAAAUUACAUAAAUUUACGAAAAAUUGUAAUACAAUUGAUUAUAAAUGGCAAUAACUCCUUACGGGAUCAAUUAACAAUUUUGGUCAUGAUGACUUAUUUGUAGAUCUUACUUUGCUGAACAUUAUUUUUGCUUACAGUUUAUCUCUAUCUAUAAUAAUAUUCAAGAUAACAAUCAAAAACAGCAAAAUCUAAUCUAAAUUUACUUAUUCAAGGGCAGCAACCCAACUACAUGUUGGCUGAUUCGUCGGAAAAUUCCACGGCAGAUCAUAUCUAAAUCUUUAUAUGUUGUUUUUUUUUUUGUUUUUUUUUUUAGUCAUGGCAGCCAUAUUGGUUGGCAGGCUGGGUUGCUAGAUACCCCAAUAUUGAUUAUGGCCAAGUUUGGUUAAAUUUGUCUUUAGUUUUAGACGGACGCCAAGUGAUGAGAAAAGCUCACUUGACCUUUCAGGCCAGGCGUACGAAAAGUUGACAUUGAGUUGCGGAGUGUACUAUAAAAUUGAAUCAUUUGUAAUUACUUUGGCUAACAAAGAAAACUUUAGAAUACAAGACCAUUUAUAACCUAAAAGUAAACAAGAGAUGUGUUAUAUUAACUUUACAAUUUAUGACAAAAGAUUUGAUUUUCUAGGUUACUGCUGAUCAAAUUUUUGCUUUCGGACAGAAGUUUGAAAAUUGCUACUCGAAUAAAGGCAUCAAUUUUCCUUUUAAGUUAUACAUGAAUAACUUACUGAAAGCAAGCAAUUUAAGAAAAGUAAAUUUGUUCUAAAUUUGGACAAAUUAUAGAAUUUUCCAGAGAAAAAAGUAUAUGUACAUAAGUUUUAUUAAAAUAAAACAUAUGCAUAUUUUGUUUUAAAUUUGAAGUUUCAUAUGACUCUAAGAAUUAUUUUAUUUGGUAUUUUCAGCUUGUUAUGAAACUCGCCUUUACAAUCUUUUGUUUGGUUGUUUUGAGCUUAUUUGGAGACACAGCAUGUGCUACUAACCAAUGCAUCAGCAAUUGCAUAGAUAGUUCCAGUAGCUGUAUCAGGGGUUGUGGUGGAAAAUUUAUUUUCCAGAUGUUGUCAUGCCAUUCAAGUUGCAAAAAUCAAUGUGAACUAUGUACCGUCAAGUGCCCUAACACUGGCAGUUCAGGAAAAACUUGUAAAUUUUAAGUCAUAAAUAAA